Non-coding RNA from Heterocephalus glaber (naked mole-rat), 72 nucleotides. NCBI's taxonomy places the organism in Eukaryota, Metazoa, Chordata, Mammalia, Rodentia, Bathyergidae. The record is from Rfam.
GAGGAUGUAGCUCAGUGGUAGAGUGCCUACUUAAGAUGUGUGAGAUUCUGAGUUCAAUUCCCAGCACCAUAA